This 556-nucleotide ribosomal RNA is filed under the name uncultured archaeon. RNAcentral describes it as "bacterial SSU rRNA". It matches the Rfam family "Archaeal small subunit ribosomal RNA", at positions 321 to 879 of the family's 1478-position model. The record is from RNAcentral.
UCCUUCGGGGUGCAGCAGGCGCGAAACCUUUACAAUGCCCGAAAGUGUGAUAAGGGAAUCCUGAGUGCUCAUUUUUACAUGGGCUCUUGUUAAGAGUAAAUAUCUUGGAGAAUAAGUGGUGGGCAAUACCGGUGCCAGCCGCCGCGGUAACACCGGAGUCACGAGUGGGAGUCCCUAUUAUUGGGCCUAAAGCGUCCGUAGCCGGUUAAGUAAAUCUCUUGUGAAAUUGUCGGGCUCAACCUGACAGCGUGCAUGAGACACUGCUUAACUAGGGACCGGGAGGAGUCAGAGGUAUUUCGGGGGGAGCGGUAAAAUGUUAUAAUCCUCGAAGGACCACCUAUGGCGAAGGCAUCUGACUAGAACGGAUCCGACAGUGAGGGACGAAAGCCAGGGGAGCAAACCGGAUUAGAUACCCGAGUAGUCCUGGCUGUAAACGCUGCGAGCUAGGUGUUGCGUAUUCUUCGUGGAUGCGCAGUAUCGAAGCGAAGGUGAUAAGCUCGCCGCCUGGGAAGUACGGUCGCAAGGCUGAAACUUAAAGGAAUUGGCGGGGGAGCAC